AAUAAGCGGAGGAAAAGAAACCAACAGGGAUUGUCUUAGUAACGGCGAGUGAAGCGACAAAAGCUCAAAUUUGAAAUCUGGCACCUUCGGUGUCCGAGUUGUAAUUUGAAGAAGGUAACUUUGGAGUUGGCUCUUGUCUAUGUUCCUUGGAACAGGACGUCACAGAGGGUGAGAAUCCCGUGCGAUGAGAUGUCCAACUCUAUGUAAAGUGCUUUCGAAGAGUCGAGUUGUUUGGGAAUGCAGCUCUAAGUGGGUGGUAAAUUCCAUCUAAAGCUAAAUAUUGGCGAGAGACCGAUAGCGAACAAGUACAGUGAUGGAAAGAUGAAAAGAACUUUGAAAAGAGAGUGAAAAAGUACGUGAAAUUGUUGAAAGGGAAGGGCUUGAGAUCAGACUUGGUAUUUUGUAUGUCUUGCUUUCGGGUGGGGCCUCUGCAGUUUACUGGGCCAGCAUCGGUUUGGACGGUAGGAUAAUGACAUUGGAAUGUGGCACUACUUCGGUGGUGUGUUAUAGACUUUGUUGAUACUGCCUGUCUAGACCGAGGACUGCGUCUUUGACUAGGAUGCUGGCAUA
RNAcentral lists this ribosomal RNA (570 nucleotides) under Scheffersomyces shehatae. RNAcentral's name for it is "LSU rRNA". It matches the Rfam family "Eukaryotic large subunit ribosomal RNA", at positions 45 to 633 of the family's 3401-position model. Lineage: Eukaryota; Fungi; Ascomycota; Pichiomycetes; Serinales; Debaryomycetaceae. The record is from RNAcentral. RNAcentral also lists the same sequence under 1 other name.